UGUUUGAUGUUCUAACGUUGGCCCCUGAUCGGGGUUGCGGACAGUGUCUGGUGGGUAGUUUGACUGGGGCGGUCUCCUCCUAAAGAGUAACGGAGGAGCACGAAGGUUGGCUAAUCCUGGUCGGACAUCAGGAGGUUAGUGCAAUGGCAUAAGCCAGCUUGACUGCGAGCGUGACGGCGCGAGCAGGUGCGAAAGCAGGUCAUAGUGAUCCGGUGGUUCUGAAUGGAAGGGCCAUCGCUCAACGGAUAAAAGGUACUCCGGGGAUAACAGGCUGAUACCGCCCAAGAGUUCAUAUCGACGGCGGUGUUUGGCACCUCGAUGUCGGCUCAUCACAUCCUGGGGCUGAAGUAGGUCCCAAGGGUAUGGCUGUUCGCCAUUUAAAGUGGUACGCGAGCUGGGUUUAGAACGUCGUGAGACAGUUCGGUCCCUAUCUGCCGUGGGCGCUGGAGAACUGAGGGGGGCUGCUCCUAGUACGAGAGGACCGGAGUGGACGCAUCACUGGUGUU
Molecule: ribosomal RNA, 506 nt
Filed under: Escherichia coli
Lineage: Bacteria; Pseudomonadati; Pseudomonadota; Gammaproteobacteria; Enterobacterales; Enterobacteriaceae
Description: partial 23S ribosomal RNA
Rfam family: Bacterial large subunit ribosomal RNA
Source: RNAcentral